This 628-nucleotide ribosomal RNA is filed under the name Escherichia coli. RNAcentral describes it as "partial 23S ribosomal RNA". It matches the Rfam family "Bacterial large subunit ribosomal RNA", at positions 1135 to 1765 of the family's 2925-position model. The record is from RNAcentral. Lineage: Bacteria; Pseudomonadati; Pseudomonadota; Gammaproteobacteria; Enterobacterales; Enterobacteriaceae.
UAAUAGCUCACUGGUCGAGUCGGCCUGCGCGGAAGAUGUAACGGGGCUAAACCAUGCACCGAAGCUGCGGCAGCGACACUAUGUGUUGUUGGGUAGGGGAGCGUUCUGUAAGCCUGUGAAGGUGUACUGUGAGGUAUGCUGGAGGUAUCAGAAGUGCGAAUGCUGACAUAAGUAACGAUAAAGCGGGUGAAAAGCCCGCUCGCCGGAAGACCAAGGGUUCCUGUCCAACGUUAAUCGGGGCAGGGUGAGUCGACCCCUAAGGCGAGGCCGAAAGGCGUAGUCGAUGGGAAACAGGUUAAUAUUCCUGUACUUGGUGUUACUGCGAAGGGGGGACGGAGAAGGCUAUGUUGGCCGGGCGACGGUUGUCCCGGUUUAAGCGUGUAGGCUGGUUUUCCAGGCAAAUCCGGAAAAUCAAGGCUGAGGCGUGAUGACGAGGCACUACGGUGCUGAAGCAACAAAUGCCCUGCUUCCAGGAAAAGCCUCUAAGCAUCAGGUAACAUCAAAUCGUACCCCAAACCGACACAGGUGGUCAGGUAGAGAAUACCAAGGCGCUUGAGAGAACUCGGGUGAAGGAACUAGGCAAAAUGGUGCCGUAACUUCGGGAGAAGGCACGCUGAUAUGUAGGUGA